This 738-nucleotide long non-coding RNA is filed under the name Vigna radiata. RNAcentral describes it as "long non-coding RNA (VRAD_LNC013105)". Lineage: Eukaryota; Viridiplantae; Streptophyta; Magnoliopsida; Fabales; Fabaceae. The record is from RNAcentral.
AGGCAGGUACAUACUUCUACCAUGUAUGGUAUGCAGAGGGCAGCAUAAGUUCUCAUAAGUUCUCUGAUAAUGGAUUUCGAAUGAAAAAAAAAAAAAAACAUUUGAUUAUGAUGGUGAGUUCAACCUUUUGUUGAGACCAGUGGCACAAAAGCAUACAUAAACAGGAUGUUAGUCUCUUUUCCAUUCCAUUCAUAUGGAUGAAUGAACCUUAGGUAAAUUAAACAAAAAUAUUAGUCAUGCAAUUCAAUUCUUACAGUUUUAUUCUUUAAGAUAUUGUUUUGAAAAACUUAAGCAACACAAUAAUGGUUUUUUUUGUUUUAUGUGCUCACAUGUUUGAUAACCUUUUGCAUAACCAAUUAAUUAUCAUAAUUUGAACCAUGAUUUUGCUAGACUUUCUUGUUUUUAAUACUGAUAAAAAUAAGAUCUGUUUGUUAUGCAUCAUGGCAUAGAGGGUUCCUUCCUGUAUCUCACCAGUCUCAUUCUACACUUCUUAAUUGACAAUUUUAUCCUUUUUUUUCCAUUCUCUUCUUUGUCGCAUUUCAUCUUUGAAACUCUACACCCCCUUCUUUCUCUCUCUACUGGCACUUCUCCCUCUUCCCCUCGUCCCUCAUUUUUUAUUGUCGGAGGAGUCCUCUGGUUUUGUGGGUUGUGUGAGGUGUUUGUUUCUUAGAUCAGCGUUCAUGAUGUUGAGGCGAGGUUGCAGCAGUGGGUGACGGCAGAGAUUGGGCAUAUGGAUAG